Molecule: ribosomal RNA, 447 nt
Filed under: uncultured bacterium
Lineage: Bacteria
Description: partial 16S ribosomal RNA
Rfam family: Bacterial small subunit ribosomal RNA
Source: RNAcentral
AACGAACGCUGGCGGCAGGCUUAACACAUGCAAGUCGAGCGCCCCGCAAGGGGAGCGGCAGACGGGUGAGUAACGCGUGGGAAUCUACCUUUUGCUACGGAAUAACUCAGGGAAACUUGUGCUAAUACCGUAUGUGCCCUUCGGGGGAAAGAUUUAUCGGCAAAGGAUGAGCCCGCGUUGGAUUAGCUAGUUGGUGGGGUAAGGGCCUACCAAGGCGACGAUCCAUAGCUGGUCUGAGAGGAUGAUCAGCCACAUUGGGACUGAGACACGGCCCAAACUCCCACGGGAGGCAGCAGUGCGGAAUAUUGGACAAUGGGCGCAAGCCUGAUCAAGCCAGGCCGCGUGAGUGAUGAGGGACCUAGGGUUGUAAAGCUCUAUCACCGGUGAAGAUGAUGGCGGUAACCGGAGAAGAAGCCCCGGCUAACUGCGUGCCAGCCGCCGCGGUAA